RNAcentral lists this long non-coding RNA (12003 nucleotides) under Pelobates cultripes (western spadefoot toad). The record is from RNAcentral. Lineage: Eukaryota; Metazoa; Chordata; Amphibia; Anura; Pelobatidae.
AUUAACCCUUUCUGUGUUGGGUGACAGUCGUUAUUAUUAUCAUCGCCAUUUAUAUAGCGCCAACAGAUUCCGUAGCGCUGUACAAUAUUAUAAGAGGGGGGAUUUAACUAUAAAUAGGACAAUUACAAAAAACCUUACAGGAAAGAUAGGUUGGAGAGGACCCUGCUGAAACGAGCUUACAUUCUAUAGAUAUAACGUAGAUCGUCACAGUAAAUCCAAAUUGCCCAUUCCUAUUGUACAACGGACGCCUUGGGAUAAAAAAUGACAGUAAUGGUAACAUUGUCCUGAUUGAGCCUAUCCUAGCUCUACCACCUCUGCUGGAAGGUUAUUCCAUGAAUCUACCUAUUUCCAUGUAACAGAAUGAUACUAUAUAUCUGCAGUAUUUUAACACCACAUUAUAUCUCGCUGCUGCUCUGUAGAAAUCAUUUUACUUACCGGUAUGCAAGUUAUUCCCGAGCCUUGUCAAUCAGCAUUAACCUCUUGUUUUAAUUUAUUUUCCUUUCUCUUCCCCUCUCUGUCCAAUUGUUUGAGUUAUGCGUCCUGGCCCCCAAUAUACGGACACGGCUUGUCCUUUUUACCCCUUGUAGUUAUCGUUGAUUCCACAUUACUGACUGCUUGUUCACCUGGGAAUUUGCACCAUUUUAAUUCAUGAAAUAAAUCGUUAAUCAUUGAAGUGGUGAGAGGCAGUGGGGAGCUGAUUGGGGUAUUUAUCCUUACGGUAAAGAGGAGGUGGGGGGGGGAGACACCCAGGCAGGAGCACGAAUAGGAAACAGUAUUCCCAGAAUUCUACAGUUAUUUCUUUCACAAUAGUCACAGUAACGUUUAAAAUAGGGAAAUGUGCCAAAAAAAUGUUUAAUUAACAUUUUGUACUCCACACCAGCUCUCCAUUGGGAACUUCAACACUACGUCAGUUAGUCUAAUAAAUUCCAGCUGUAUAGAUCAAACAGAAUGGACAAUAGAAAAUAAACUUUGUUAGCUGUGAGUUUAUAUAUAAAGCUGAUAUAUCCAAAAUGUCAAAUCUAUAAACUGGAACAUGUGUAAGACUUGUCUGUUAUACAGAUCUGCUGCUCUCUGACGUUCAUGGCUGCAAAGCAGAAAACUAGCACAAAGAUCAUUUCUCCUAAUUGCGUUCAUUAAAGAAGAGGCCAAGCUUGAAGUGGUGAAAUGUGGAUAAAAUUGUGUCUGGUCAGAGUGGAGGACGGGGCUGUGGCCAAGAAAAUAUGUUGGGGCCCACACGCUAACACGCAAUCACAUACACACACUAACACACAGUCACAUACACGCACUACACAUGCAAUCAUACACACAUACACACACUAACACGCAAUGACAUACACACACAUACACACAUUAACAUGCAAUCAUACAUUCACUCUGACAGACAGUCAUACAGAGAGGAUAACACACUUCCAUCAGCACACAGACAGUAAUACACAACUUACCUACUGCCUGGAGAGGGGGAGAGCUCUGCUUGUUCUCCCAGGGGACUUGUAUUAGGAGAGCAAGUCAGUUCCUUCUACUCCGCCUAACGCUUCUACUGACUGGGAUAUAACAUCCUGGGACCGGCUUUCUCUAACACACUGCGCAGUAGGUCUGGGUGCCGUAAUCAAGCGUCACCGACUCAGAUAUUCUGAAACAUAGGGAGUGAUGAGUUAAAAAAAUAGCAGAAGGGCUCAAAAACAGGAUUUGUCCAAGUGUGAGUUUUAAUGCAGUGGUGCUCUGUGAUAUACUCAUUCAUACUGCACAUUACCGUGAGUUUUAUUGCAGUGGAGCUCUGUGAUACUGUUACGAACCGCCUGUAUUCAGUGUGGUACGUUUGUCUGAACUCCUGCAAGGUUCAUGUGAUUAAAGCGCUCCUUCUAUCGCACACCCAAACAUCAGUUGAGACUAUAUGAAGGGUACAAAAGGAAUAGUUUAAUAUGGCCAAGUUGCCUGUUUAUAUACACAGACCUCCAGCAUGUGAUCUCCAGCAAAAAUAUAGGUAAACCCGCCCAGGUGUCUCUGUGCCUGGGAGAUAAGUGAGUUUGUUUUUGCUUAAACUAAUUAUCUCCCAGGCACUAGAGGUACAGUACAUAAAACACAUAUAAUAUUGAUAGGAACCCCCACAAGUCUUAUAUCCCUGGAUAGCCUGGAUCUGAGCGCCCGAGUUGUCCAAAUAGCGCUUUGAUCCAGUCGUGUAGCUGAAUCGCCACUGGGGUAAAGUUUGGACCGACCGCACACAUGGCUGCUGUCCAAAAUUGUUCCAUAAGAAAAGAGGUAGCGGUCGGUCAAUCUCCGGGAGUUCCUAUACGAAUUUAAACGAAUGAUCCACCUGGCUCGUAGGGAGCGAAUGUUUCCCUAGUUCAGGAGUGUCUUUUCCCCUAACAGCGCUCUCCUGGCUUGUCUGUGUGAGAAGCAGGCGACGGGACAAUGUUCCCGGGGUUCGCGAGUUAAGAUAUCUGUCAUACAGUACCACGNNNNNNNNNNNNNNNNNNNNNNNNNNNNNNNNNNNNNNNNNNNNNNNNNNNNNNNNNNNNNNNNNNNNNNNNNNNNNNNNNNNNNNNNNNNNNNNNNNNNUCAUACUGCCCAGAAACUCUUAUUCCUAGUCUGUGUCUAACAAACUCAGGGAAAUCUUAACAACUUAUAACAACGUAUUCAUUGGAUACCAUCAUAUCCAGAAACCUAUUCUCCCUAGUCCAUACCUUUUAUAGACUUAGGUCAAAUAUAAUUGUGUACUAUACUCUUUCCAUUCAAUUCAAUUCCUCUUGGAUCUUUGAACUCUUAUAUCCAAGGCUUUCUUAAUGUAUAUAAUUACUUAAUAUUAAUCAAUAUAAAUUAUCCUUCCUUAGUUUUCUUCCUUAUGUUACCAUUGUUUGUUUUACUUCACCUCGAUUAUAAACAAAUUACUCAUUAUAGUUAAUCUAUGAAAUACUAUUGAACUCAAUCUUUGUGGUAUUAAGUAACCAUGAUCCUUAUUUUAUCGACUUCAUAUUUUAUCUUCCUCUGAUACUUCUCAUUCUAUGUAUAGGUAAUAAUGUAAUAGUUCUCUUCAUAAUACCAUCCAUUAAUAAUUUUACUCCAUGUGUUAAAUAGCUAUAAGUAGUCUCUUUUGGUAUUAAUACACUCAUAACUGUUACAUAACUUUUCAUUGUCUCUUUUCUUUUUCGUUAAUAUUUAGCAAUUGAUAUGUAUGUUAGUGUCAAUGUUUUAUUUCUUUGUAAGUCUGUUAAUCUUCUGUAUCGAAUGAACUCUGUAGAAUCUUCCAUCACAGUUUGCAGAUCAGAUGAAAAGUCUCUUUCCAACAGUCGAUGUCCAGUAGUCUGAAGGAAUGCUUUCCUGAUUUAUUGCCACAUGGAUCUGUCACGCUUUACCUACAUUAAAACAAAUAACAUGUGCAGCAUCAAUACAAUGGCUUACAAUGUUUAUAUCUCAUUAUUAUUACACAGUUUAACAUUGAAUCAUACUGACUACACAAAACAUACUCAUAUCCUCUCAUGAGAUCUACCAUCUACUGGUCAUUACAUCUAUGCGAUGUGAUGUAUAAUCUUUAAAUUUCCUUUAUAUUAAAAUCUUUCUGAACAUGUAAAUUCUCAAUUCUCAAACUUUUUAUUACUCAUACCCCCCUUUUAAACUGUUUAAUAAUCUGGAGGUAUAACCUAAUCACAUGUCAGAUGUUACAACUAAAUAUUGUUUUCCACUAUACUUUAGCUAUAGUAGCCAUUUUGUCACAUGAAACAAACUACAAAAAACAUAUAUUGUUUCCUUCAUCAAAUGUAUUUGUAAAUCUAGGUUUUAUUCUAUCAAAACUUGUGUCUUCUAUGUAGUCAAAACAUAUGUAUGUCCAGGCUUUGCAAAAUAUAGUAAUCCAUUAUCAGUCAUGAUAUUAAAAUCUCAUUCUCAUGAAUUAAAUCAAAGAUUUUAAAUCAACCUCAGAAGUAACAAGGAAUAUAUCCAUUGUUUUUUCCUUCUGUAAAAUGAUUGGAGUUACUGUAUAAUCGCAUACACCCAAUAUAACCUUGCAUGUUCCUAACUGCUACAUUAGUGUAUUUCAUACUGUCAUAUUUGCAAACUUGAUGUAAAUUUUUAUUUUAAUUAAUUAACCUAAUACUUUCUUAUAACACACAUAUAAAACAAUGAAAAAACAGUUCAGACUAACAAUAUUAAAACAACAAACUAACAUAGAUCUCUAUUCUUGUGCUGUUUUUAAUUCUGGAAUCAGCCUGUGUACAUCUGUUGGCAGACAUAUCCAUGCUUAUUCCCUAAAUUGAUCAUAUCUCUUGAAGUUAUCUGAUUCUUAUAACUUUCUGAGUUGCACUGCAUUGCUUGUCUGUCUCCUAAUUUCGAUUUAGCUAAAAUUGCUUUUAUUUGUCUGAUUAUCAGUUUACAAGGAAAGGCUUUAAUUGAUUUAUCUCCACAUGUAUUUUCUCUGUCAAAAUUUUCAAUCAACAAAUUUAAUUUCUCAUUUGCUUUUGAUUUGAUAUCUCGGAUAAAAUAUCUGCAAGAUCUUAAAUAAUGUUGUUUGUUGCACCAAAAACAAAUAACUUUAGGAGUUAUAUUUUGCCCUAUAUUAUCAACUCUACAGUUUUUAGUUGAAUAAAUUGGGAGGGGCUCAGCUGUCUGUAUCACUCUACACUCUGUCCUAGAAGAAGAAGGAGAAGGAGGGGGACGAGGGCUGUAAAAUCUGCACUUCUUUCUCUGCCUAAAUCCACAAGUCGUUUUAACCCCUUCAUUAUUGGUUUCUCUCCUUAAGUUAUCCAAGAACAAAGCUACCUCUGUCAAAGUGCUUUUUUCUCUAGCUAACACAAUUGCAGUUGGAUCUAGAUCUUGAAAUUUUUUCACAAAUUCAUUAAUUAACUGAUCUUCAGAAAAAUCAGCAACAAGUCUAUAUGCACUUUCAAAUUUUGCAAGAAAACUAAAUAUAUCCUCCCCUUUGUGUGGUUUUAGUUUUUCCAACAUUUCAGUGUCUGCAAAAUCAUUCCCUGUUGUUAAUUUUAUUAAUUGUGUUAAUCUGUCUUGCUUAUUUCCAUAUAUUAUUUCAUCAUUGUCCUCGAAAUUUACAGGCGUGGUCAGUCUACAUGCCAUUUGAGUCGGCAGCCAUGUUUUAAAUAGUCUAUUCCUUUGUUCGUCAUUUAGGCUGUAUUUGUCCAAAUUUGACUCAAACAUUUCAGCAUUAGUAAAUGCAUCCACUGACAUGUCAUAAACUGGAAUACAUUUCACAAUUUUCAUUAAUUGUUCAUGGAUUUUCAAAUUAAGUUUUGCAGCUCUGUCUUGAAAUUUACAUUUCUGCAAAUCACUCUGUGAGGAUACAUUUUCAGUAUCUGUUAGUUCUGGGAUUAGAUUCUGUGCCUUUAUUUUUCUUGUAUUAACACACACUAGUUUAACUUCAUUUCUAAGCUGGCAACUCAAAUCAUUUCUUUGUUCAACUCUAUCCUCUAAUUCACAGACUUUUUCUGAUAAUGUUCUCUCUGUUACUUUGUUACACUGUUCAUUUAAAUCUGAUUUGUCUUCUGUUAACCCAUUCAAAUCUAUUUCUUUUUCUGCUGAUUCUAAAUUUUCUUGCCCUGCAUCUCGUUUACAAAUCAAUGCAUUGUAAGUACAGACUAGUUUCAUAACAUUUCUGAUCUUUUGUUUUUUCUUAUUAACAAACAAUUUCUUGGCAAUUUUACUAUUGGCAAUUUCACAUUGUGUGUAUAAAGAUUGCCACAACACAGCAUCUGAAUAGCUGCUAUUACAUGCAAACUGCAAUUUAUUUUUCUCUGCAACAUCAUUUAUGAAUUCCAUGUUACUCACCAGAUCAGUUAUUUCUGUCUAUUUCGUUGCUUCAUCCACACAGCUGCGCAGUUCUUUGCUUGGACGCUUGCCAAUGUCUGCCACGUGCUUGCUUCUAGAAUUCACGUUGUAUCUUGUGCUUUUUGUCUCAGUUGUAGAAAAUAGUCUUGUACAGUCUUUGAUUUGAAAACUCUAUUUUUCUUACAAACCACAGUUCUUCUAUGACAGUCAGUCUAGAUUCUUUUUUUCUCUUCAAGUUUGUUUUCCCAGUUCAAAAAUAGCUUUGUAACUCGAUUCUUCUCUCUCCCCCCUUGAAGUGGGAACAAAACUUUGAAUAGAAGACUGGCAGGCUAGCCAAUGUAAAAAAACUAGAUGAAUGGAUGUUCAAUGUAAUAAUGUUGAUUCUUCUUAAUUUCUUCUCAUCUUCGGUUGAUUGAUAUAUAUACGUCUUUUGUAUAUAUAUUCUUGGGCCAAAUGCUCGCCACAAUAAUAUAUGUCUAUAUUAUUGAAAAGUAGUAAUACUCAAUCUGACUUACGGUUUCUUCAGGUUUAUUCUUUGUUACGGAUACAUAAUAAAGGAUGUUACAGGAUAGUGGACAUUCAACAGCAGAUGGUAAUUGCUGGACUUCUGAUGGGAGAGUUACAUCGUUGUACAGAGCCAAGAGCCAAGCCAAGUGUGAGACCAAGACUGAGAGACCUCGUGUCCCUCUGUUACUAUAUAGAAGUGCUAAUACUAACGUCAGCAUAUAACUCUAGCCAUAUAAGGACAAAACCCCCACAUCCACAUUCCAGAACUCUCGGACAAAGAAAGCCUUGUGACUUAUUGAUACCAUCUGUUACUUAUGUCAAUCCACACAUCCAUAUAUAUAAUCAAUAGAAACAUAGAAUAUGCAAUAUUCUACAGUGUGUAUAUGUGUAAAUGUGUGACUGUAUCUGUUUGUGACUGUGUGUCUGUAUCGGCAUGUGUGUCAGUGUGUGUAUAUAUCUGCAUACAUCCCUGCAUUCCAGUGUAAACACUACACACAAACACAUCCCUGCAUUCCAAUGUAAACACUACACACAAACACAUCCCUGCAUUCCAGUGUAAACACUACACACAGACACAUCCCUGCAUUCCAAUGUAAACACUACACACAAACACAUCCCUGCAUUCCAAUGUAAACACUACACACAAACACAUCCCUGCAUUCCAAUGUAAACACUACACACAAACACAUCCCUGCAUUCCAAUGUAAACACUACACACAAACACAUCCCUGCAUUCCAGUGUAAACACUACACACAAACACAUCCCUGCAUUCCAAUGUAAACACUACACGCAAACACAUCCCUGCAUUCCAAUGUAAACACUACACGCAAACACAUCCCUGCAUUCCAAUGUAAUCACUACACGCAAACACAUCCCUGCACUCCAAUGUAAACACUACACGCAAACACAUCCCUGCAUUCCAAUAUAAACACUACACACAAACACAUCCCUGCAUUCCAAUGUAAACACUACACACAAACACAUCCCUGCAUUCCAAUGUAAACACUACACACAAACACAUCCCUGCAUUCCAAUGUAAACACUACACACAAACACAUCCCUGCAUUCCAAUGUAAACACUACAUACAAACACAUCCCUGCAUUCCAAUGUAAACACUACAUACAAACACAUCCCUGCAUUCCAAUGUAAACACUACAUACAAACACAUCCCUGCAUUCCAAUGUAAACACUACAUACAAACACAUCCCUGCAUUCCAAUGUAAACACUACACACAAACACAUCCCUGCAUUCCAAUGUAAACACUACAGACAAACACAUCCCUGCAUUCCAAUGUAAACACUACAGACAAACACGUCCCUGCAUUCCAAUGUAAACACUACACGCAAACACAUCCCUGCAUUCCAAUGUAAACACUAAACACAAACACAUCCCUGCAUUCCAAUGUAAACACUACAUACAAACACAUCCCUGCAUUCCAGUGUAAACACUACAUACAAACACAUCCCUGCAUUCCAAUGUAAACACUACAGACAAACACAUCCCUGCAUUCCAAUGUAAACACUACAUACAAACACAUCCCUGCAUUCCAAUGUAAACACUACAGACAAACACAUCCCUGCAUUCCAGUGUAAACACUACAUACAAACACAUCCCUGCAUUCCAAUGUAAACACUACACACAAACACAUCCCUGCAUUCCAAUGUAAACACUACAAACACAUCCCUGCAUUCCAAUGUAAACACUACAUACAAACACAUCCCUGCAUUCCAAUGUAAACACUACAUACAAACACAUCCCUGCAUUCCAAUGUAAACACUACUACAUACAAACACAUCCCUGCAUUCCAAUGUAAACACUACUACAUACAAACACAUCCCUGCAUUCCAAUGUAAACACUACACACAAACACAUCCCUGCAUUCCAAUGUAAACACUACAUACAAACACAUCCCUGCAUUCCAAUGUAAACACUACACACAAACACAUCCCUGCAUUCCAAUGUAAACACUACAGACAAACACAUCCCUGCAUUCCAAUGUAAACACUACAGACAAACACGUCCCUGCAUUCCAAUGUAAACACUACACGCAAACACAUCCCUGCAUUCCAAUGUAAACACUAAACACAAACACAUCCCUGCAUUCCAAUGUAAACACUACAUGCAAACACAUCCCUGCAUUCCAGUGUAAACACUACAUACAAACACAUCCCUGCAUUCCAAUGUAAACACUACAGACAAACACAUCCCUGCAUUCCAAUGUAAACACUACACAAACACAUCCCUGCAUUCCAAUGUAAACACUACAGACAAACACAUCCCUGCAUUCCAGUGUAAACACUACACACAAACACAUCCCUGCAUUCCAAUGUAAACACUACAAACACAUCCCUGCAUUCCAAUGUAAACACUACAUACAAACACAUCCCUGCAUUCCAAUGUAAACACUACAUACAAACACAUCCCUGCAUUCCAAUGUAAACACUACUACAUACAAACACAUCCCUGCAUUCCAAUGUAAACACUACUACAUACAAACACAUCCCUGCAUUCCAAUGUAAACACUACACACAAACACAUCCUGUCGAGAUGGCACCGUGUAGAAAAGUCCAAACAGUGUCUGUGAGUUAAAAUGGCCGCCAUCCAUUGUUCUCACCAUGUGCCUCUGAUACAGGAAAUGGUGGCCACCCAGUAACUCCACAGUAUGUCCCCAGAUGGUUCUUAAAGGGCCAGCAGCAGCACAACACAAAUCCAUUAUGCCCAAAUCAUGUCUUUAAAGGGCAAUACAUCCCAGGGGCUAUAGUCACAGGGCAAGAGGCGGGCAAGCAGUCCUCUCCAGGCACAAGUGGCGAAGGGCACUUCGUCACAGCAUGUUUUUGUAUGGAGUAAGUGUGAGUGAAUGUAGAGGUGUGUUUGUAUGUAGUGUUUACAUUGGAAUGCAGGGAUGUGUUUGUAUGUAGUGUUUACAUUGGAAUGCAGGGAUGUGUUUGUGUGUAGUGUUUACACUGGAAUGCAGGGAUGUGUUUGUGUGUAGUGUUUACAUUGGAAUGCAGGGAUGUGUUUGUAUGUAGUGUUUACAUUGGAAUGCAGGGAUGUGUGUGUGUAGUGUUUACAUUGGAAUGCAGGGAUGUGUUUGUGUGUAGUGUUUACAUUGGAAUGCAGGGAUGUGUUUGUAUGUAGUGUUUACAUUGGAAUGCAGGGAUGUGUUUGUGUGUAGUGUUUACACUGGAAUGCAGGGAUGUGUUUGUGUGUAGUGUUUACAUUGGAAUGCAGGGAUGUGUGUGUGUAGUGUUUACAUUGGAAUGCAGGGAUGUGUUUGUGUGUAGUGUUUACAUUGGAAUGCAGGGAUGUGUUUGUAUGUAGUGUUUACAUUGGAAUGCAGGGAUGUGUUUGUGUGUAGUGUUUACAUUGGAAUGCAGGGAUGUGUUUGUAUGUAGUGUUUACAUUGGAAUGCAGGGAUGUGUUUGUAUGUAGUGUUUACAUUGGAAUGCAGGGAUGUGUUUGUGUGUAGUGUUUACAUUGGAGUGCAGGGAUGUGUUUGUGUGUAGUGUUUACAUUGGAGUGCAGGGAUGUGUUUGUGUGUAGUGUUUACAUUGGAGUGCAGGGAUGUGUUUGUGUGUAGUGUUUACAUUGGAGUGCAGGGAUGUGUUUGUAUGUAGUAGUGUUUACAUUGGAAUGCAGGGAUGUGUUCCCUGCUGUAUAGUCCAAAACCACUGCACGAUGUCUCUGUGCACCAAAUACUGGCGAGAUGGCACCGUGUUGAAAACUCCAAACAGUGUCUGUGAGUUAAAAUGGCCGCCAUCCAUUGUUCUCACCAUGUGCUUCUGAUACAGGAAAUGGUGGCCCCCAGUAACUCCACAGUAUGUCCCCAGAUGGUUCUUAAAAGGGCCAGCAGCAGCACAACACAAAUCCAUUAUGCCCAAAUCAUGUCUUUAAAGGGCAAUACAUCCCAGGGGCCAUAGUCACAGGGCAAGAGGCGGGCAAGCAGUCCUCUCCAGGCACAAGUGGUGAAGGGCACUUCGUCACACAUGCUUACAUUGAAACACUGCUCAAUGCUACAUACAUUAAAUUGUGGGCGUUUUUUACAUUUUAAAGUGAUCUCCUGAUCACACACGGCAUGUCAUUAUUCCACACGCUAUCUCCUGAUCACACACGGUAUGUUGGUAUUCCACAUAUUAUCUCCUGAUCACAUGCAGUGUGCCGUUAUUCCACAUAUCUCCUGAUUCCACACUGUAUGGCGAUAUUCCACAUAUUAUCUCCUGAUCACACACGGUAUGGCGGUAUUCCACAUAUUAUCUCCUGAUCACACACGGUAUGUCGUUAUUCCACAUAUUCCACAUAUUAUCUCCUGAUCACAUACAGUGUGUCUUUAUUCCACAUAUUAACUCCUGAUCACACACGGUAUGUCGAUAUUCCACAUAUCUCCUGAUCACAUACGGUGUGUCGUUAUUCCACAUAUUAUCUCCUAAUCACAUACGGUGUGUCGUUAUUCCACAUAUUAUCUCCUGAUCACACACGGUAUAUCGGUAUUCCACAUUGUGACGAGACCAAUCUCGCCACAUUGCAUUGGAGAAGCCUAUUUGCCAGCCUCCUUCCACAUGACUAUGGCCCCUGGGAGAUGGUGAAAACGUAUGCACUUUUAUUGGGUGUGUAUGGCCCUUUAAGACAGUCAGUGGGCAUAUUGUGGCUUAUGGACUCUUUAUGGGACUGGUGCUGGCUCUUUAAACACCUUUUUGGGACAUCAGGAAGAUUGGAACACUGCCCCUUUAAGACGGUGUCCCCAGACUUGUUUGGGACAUUGCCCCUUUAACACGGUGUCCCCUGUGUCCCCAGACCUGGUUCAAACCCUUUGUGCAUGGCUAUUUCCCACUUGGUUCAGUAAAUGCGGCUUACUGAACCAAGUAUCACACAGGCGGACCACCUGUCUUGGGAGUGUGUCGGCAAUUUACCUCCCAGAAGCUGUGGUUAACCGCAGCUUAAUUGCCGAACGCUGGGUGGCCUUUGUUCGUUUGCCAAACACGUGGCGGCGGCCAUCUUUGUUGAUGCGAACAAGGUCAGCGGUAUGUGUAGCCAAAUUCAUGGAACUAAAAUCGGCUACACAUUUCCGCGAACACCGCUGAGCCCUACCUUCUCCCACAAUGAUUUUACAGCUGCAGAGACUAAGUCCCAUUCGGCGAUGAGACUUAGUAGUUUUUUCAGCCUGAAAUAGACCGGCCGCACAGCCCAAAUCUAUGGAACUGUUUUGGGCAUGAAAAUGUGCUUGCAGUCGGUCAUAAAGGGACCUCCAGCUAACUUUUUAACCCCUGGAUGGAUUUGGCUGAUUUUUGGUUAUGUUUAUGUUUAAAGUGUGCUGAUUCCAAAUAUGUAUUCCAAAGAUUGGAUGUGUAGUUUUAAAGUUACAGUGUAUGGAUAAAAACUGUAUUUUUACUGCCUGUGUUUAAUUAUGUUAAACCAUUGUGCAACAUAAUUAUAUCACAGGCAGAGGGGAGGAUUUUUGUGUGUAAUUGCUGGGAGUGUUUCUGUAAUGUACGUUUAUGAUUGGUUGUUGUGUAAAACCCUGUGGGUGGUACUAAUGUGUAAGAAUGUGUAUAUAAGGAUAAUAAACCCACAGCUCUGUCUGUUCACUGCUUGACCCUCAACGCGGAGCUUUGUCUCGUUCUUGGGGGGGGGAUUUACUGUAUGCUGUUCCAGUUUGACUGCUAGGAGUGUAAACCUAUUCGUAUGGUUUUUCCUAUUUGGCCGUUUACAGCAUUCGUAUGGUUUCCU